This 14386-nucleotide long non-coding RNA is filed under the name Podarcis lilfordi (Lilford's wall lizard). Lineage: Eukaryota; Metazoa; Chordata; Lepidosauria; Squamata; Lacertidae. The record is from RNAcentral.
CUUUUGGAUCCUAUUCAACUCAGUACAUAACACCUUUGCUGCCAUUUUUCUCGCCUGGCCUUUCUGAUUUGCGUAUUCCUAGCAAAUCCACCAUUGCACGCGGAACGCAAGGAUGUCACAAUACUGCAUAACCAAUCACAAUCGGUUAUGCUGUCAAGGGAGGGAAAUGAAACCACAUUGCUUUUAGGGAAAUGGAGGGGAUACAUUCCUGUUUCAAGGCAGUCACAGCAACACUCCUUGUUCUCUUGUACUGAAAUGAAACUGCCUUGAUGGGACCUGAGUGUUUGACCAUCUCGCUGUCCAACUCAGGCUCACAUGCCUCCUCGGUUGGUGGGGCAGACAUGCUAUCCUGAAGUGGGGCGAUAGAGGCCUCAUUUGAUGUUCCCACCUUAGCUGGGACAUCUGGAAGUAGCUGGGAAGAAGGGUUGCCAUACAUUCAGAAUUUCCCAGACAUAGCCAGAAUACUGCAGUUGGAAGCAAUGUCCAGGCGGAAAUCGCUAAAAAUGUCUGGGGAAAUCCGGACGUAUUCAGUGUCGCUUUUGGUGAUUGUCCUUAAAAGUAGCUCCAAAAUGUUAAUUUUUAAGGAAGUCUUUUAAUCACAUUGGCCUGCGAUUCUUUGGGGCUUUAUAUACUAAUAGUUCCAAGUUGAAUCCCAGAAUGUUCAGAUUACCACUGGGUUUUGGAUGUUUGCAUUGUUUCCACCCCAGCCAAUUUCCCUCACAACACAGUACAGCUGCAUGCUACCAUCAUUCUCUGCCAUGAAAGCUCCUCCUGUUGUAAUUUUGGCUGCUUUUAUUGUGCGGCUGCUUUUAGAAAUCUACUUGUGGAGCUUUCUUUAUACAGGACAGCCUCUUAACUUGUGUCCGGCACCUUUUCCAUCUUCCUCUCCUGGCAUAUCCUGCCAAGAUUUCCCCAGGUCGUCGUCGUCGUCUUCUUCUUCUUCUUCUUCUUCUUCUUCUUUGUCUUCUUCUCUCAUCUUUUUAAAUUCAGUGGGGCUUAUUUCAUAGUAAGUACACCAGGCUUGGUUAAAUGUAGCUUGCUGAUAAUUUAAAUGUAAGCCAUCACCAAUAUUUCAUUUUCAAUCCAAACUGAUUUGCUUAAAUAAGCAAUCACGGCCCAAACAUUUGCUUCUCAUCAAGUGAGGCUGAUCUGUUGUAAUCUAAUUACUGUGUCAGAAAACUGACAAGCAAUUUAACCAACAAUGAAAAUACACUGUAAAUAACACACAUAUGGAAUGCAUCCAGGAUGUUUGAUAUCAGAUCAGUAAUUCAUACUACAUAAACCGCAUCUUAGCAAAUAAUAUUUGAAAAUGAGUGGUUUCAACGUGGUAAUAGUAACAGCCUGAUGGCAAGGACCUGUUCCGCUAGCAUGUAUGUGCCAGGACAGAUUGUGUUGGCCAUUGCAAAUUGAAAAUGUAGUCACUAUUUCACUAGUUUUACAAAAAAUGGACUCUCCAAAUAAAGCCAAUAUACAAAUAUUCCUGCACAAUUAUUUAGGUUUAGGGUUACAUAUUAGACCUUUCUAUGCAUUACUUGCAUGUAGGGAGUAAAUAUGUAGGGUGAGGAGUGGGGCUGGUACUUUUGGUUCAGUCCCCAAUGUAUUUUUCUCUCACCAUUUGCAUAUUGCACUUGGUUGCAUGAGAAGAAAGGUACCUUCCAGCUUAAUCAGAUACCCCAGUCAUACACACUUUAUUGGGGUUGCCAUAUUUUGAAAAGUUGUGUUGAGGUGUUGUGUUGUUGUUGUUGUUGUUGUUGUUUUUAAAACGUUGUUGAGCUUUUUUUUAAUGGCAAAUUCGCCAAGAAAAAGAAAACGUUUUUGAGCUAUUUUUCAGGAAAAUCGGCAAAAACAAUAUGGCCGACAUGGGUUGACAUUUUUUUGGUGCGGAUUUCCACCUGGACACUGAUUCCGUGUAUGUCCGGGAAAUUCCAAAUCUACGGCAACCCUAGUUUUCUUUUCUUUUCACGCAGCAGCGUACAUCAAGUGGUUCGUGGAAGAAAAAUAUGCAGGGCAGAGUCUGAAUACCAGCUGUAGGGAAUCACAAAGGGGAGGGUGCUAUUGCCCCAAUAUCCUGCAUGUUCUUCUGUUUUUAUGUUCUACAAGCAUGACCCUUCUCAGUCUGCUCAAAAGCUCUGGAGCCAACUGAGGAUUCCCAGGUAAGAUCCUCCCUCUAUUGUGUGGGUAGAUAGUCCCUCCCCCUACCUGGCCUGGUCACCUUGGCAACGCUUCCCCAGGCGGGAUUGGGCAAGUGACUGAGGUAGGCGGAGACCUUCAGGUAUCCCACCUGGGGGAAGGUGAAGCCAAGCCUGUGCUAAUGGGGCCGCAUAGGGUCCAGGGGCUACACGCAACCACGCAAAGGGCGCCCCCCAUUUAAUGUGGGGAGCGGUCAUUAUGUUCUACAAGUAUGACCCUACUCAGUCUGCUCAAAAAGGCCCGCUCUUGUACCUGUAUAUAAUAGAGGGGAGGGGGAAUAAGAACAGCAGGGCAGCUAGAGAUGGACCUCUCCCACAGAUCAGGCCUCCCCAAAUAACCACUCAGAGAGUGGCAGAUGAUGAUUGGAGCACAGCAGACAGGUCUCCGGACCUGGGCCAGCAUGGAAGCGAUGCCAUGGGACAGUCUAGAUCACAAACACAUAGCUCCUAAAACUCUUUUUUAUUAUUUCUUUAGCCCUCAGACUUCUUUCUUAGCAGUUUACAGUACCUCAGGUUAAGUAUUUAAUUCGUUCCGGAGGUCUGUUCUUAACCUGAAACUGUUCUUAACCUGAAGCACCACUUUAGCUAAUGGGGCCUCCUGCUGCUGCUGCUGCACUGCCGGAGCCCGAUUUCUGUUCUUAUCCUGAAGCAAAGUUCUUAACCUGAAGCACUAUUUCAGGGUUAGCGGAGUGUGUAACCUGAAGCGUAUGUAACCUGAAGCAUAUGUAACCCGAGGUACCACUGUACUGUAACUCCUGAAACGCAUUCCAUUCUGCACAUGGAUAACUCCGGCAGUUAGCUGUAGUUACUGGUUAGCUAGCUCCUCACUCACUUGUUGAUUUUCUUUAUGGCCGCAUUACACCCAUGGACCUGAGGCUUUCCCCCACCCUAGACCAUAUUCCCUGCCCCACACCAGCUCAUUGCCCACCCUAACUGGCUUAAUUCUGCUCCCUCCACUAUUCUUCCAGCAGUCGUGGUUGGUUGUCAUAACCCGAAUUCACCAUUCCUACUUCAUCAAUCUACUUUCCUUCUGUGGUGGCUAUGGAAGAAGUGAAGAUGCUUCUUCAACGGCCAUAGCAAAAGUCAGUCAGGCUGGCAAAGUAGUGACAAAGCGUUUUGCUUCGGCAGCCUUCUUGCCUAACAUGAGAGAGCCCCUUUCUCACUAUGCAGGAUGAAAAUGAAGAGAGGUUUGUGUGUGUUUAUGAGGUUUAUGAGGAGAGUCUGCAAAGCAUGCUAUGGCAUGACUCAUUUGCAUCAUAUUGUGCUGGUGGGUGAAUUCUGUCACCCUGCAGUGUGGACAGGAAUAGGUAAAGGUAAAGGGACCCCUGACCAUUAGGCCCAGUCGUGACUGACCCUGGGGUUGCAGCGCUCGUCUUGCUUUAUUGGCCGAGGGAGCCGGCGUACAGCUUCCGGGUCAUGUGGUCAGCAUGACUAAGCCACUUCAGAGCAGCUCACAGAAACGCCGUUUACCUUCCCACCUAUUUAUCUACUUGCACUUUGACGUGCUUUCGAACUGCUAGGUUGGCAAGAGCAGGGACCGAGCAACGGGAGCUCACUCCGUCGCGGGGAUUCGAACCGCCGACCUUUUGAUCGGCAAGCCCUAGGCUCUGUGGUUUAACCCACAGCACCACCCGCGUCCCUAUGUGGACAGGAAUAGCCAGAGCUUAUUUCAUUGUAUGCCAUCAUGUGUAUGAGACAUUUCCCCUACAAGUCAAGGGACAACGGGCCUUGCGAGUGGAUUAUGCAAGGGGAACAUCUUAAAUUGGUCAGACAAAUCUCUUUCUAAACUACAUGAAUAGAUAGAAUUUGCAGGUCCCUUAUAUGCGUGUGUUAAAUGUAACUUAUUUCAUGCAUUCCAGUUUAAGAGCACAUUCUUUGAUAUGCUAAUGUGGAUUUGAAAGUGUCAUAACUUCCCUUUUAAUAAUACGUUCCGUGAUAGUGAUGCAAACUGUAAUUAUAUAUCAUGGGCUCAAGCCUAGCAUCUACUUAUAUGUGUGUCAAGUGCAUUUAUUUCUAAAUAUAUAAUUGUGUCAAGUACUUAGAAUAGUAGGCAAAAAUAAGGGGGAAAGCAAGGGGAAAUCUCCUAAGGCAGACUGCGAUCUACUCCCACUAUUAACAAACUGGCAGGGAUCUACCCACUGGAUUGACCAAAGUUGUUGAUCAGUGGUUAGCCCCGCGAUUGACCAGAGUAGAUUGCUGUUAUGUACUGAGUUGAAUAGGAUCCAAAAUGCAGCAGUCUGAUUGGUCCUAGAACAAUAGGAUCCAAAAUGCAGCAAUCUGAUUGGUCCUAGAACAAUAGGAUCCAAAAUGCAGCAGUCUGAUUGGUCUGCAGGAGCCACCCAAUCCAGCUCCAGAUGGAAGUGAAUCCACAACCUGUUUGGCCUACAGGAGAGUUCCGGAAAUAGCCAAUCACGUGCAGCCCAUUGUGUAAAUAAUGUAUAUAAAGCAGAUACUUUGGGGAAACUUUCAUUCCUCCUCACCACUAUGAGCUGAAUAAAGAGCAUGAAAUCCACUCUCGACUCCAAGUAUAUUUCAGUUGCGAUCGACCAGUUGGACAUGCCUGCCCUAAGGCGUAUGAGAAUGCAAGGAAAACCCCAGGAAAGAACAUAUGGACUAGAGAAUUUGAUGAUAAAAUGGCAUGCCAUAUAAUAGCUUUUAAGGAGGGGGGCAUUGCAAUGACCUCAGUGGGGUGAAUGAAGAGGUUGCAGAGAAUUACAGCCAUCAACUGCAUUCAGACAUCACAAAUCAUGGGCGUAGCCAAGAUUUAUUUUAGGGGGGCAGGCCCAAGUUAUCUGUAAUGCAAUUGGUCAGUUAGUUAAGAAUUCCCCCCCCAUUUAUUUAUUUAUUAUUAAUGUUGCAAUACAUACAGUGGUACCUCGGGUUACAUACGCUUCAGGUUACAUACGCUUCAGGUUACAGACUCCGCUAACCCAGAAAUAGUGCUUCAGGUUAAGAACUUUGCUUCAGGAUAAGAACAGAAAUCGUGCUCCUGCGGCACGGCAGCAGCAGGAGGCCCCAUUAGCUAAAGUGAUGCUUCGGGUUAAGAACAGUUUCAGGUUAAGAACGGACCUCUGAAACGAAUUAAGUACUUAACCCGAGGUACCACUGUAUAUGGAAUCUUUACAUACAUUACUUUUCUGUGGCGAUCACACAGGGUCCCUGGACGUUUCAGCGUCUGUUGAUCCCUGUGCCACCACUUUAUUUCUCGCUGCCGCCACCCAGGCCCUACCUGGUACAAUACUGAGUCCAGUCAGGGUUAAAUUGGAACAUAAACUUCUGUUUAUUUAUUGCAGUUUAACAAGCGUGUGGUUUCAUAAACAGUAUCGGUCCAUUACAAUCAUGGGGUGCCUAUCCAGACCUAUAACUUCUGCUAAAUCACUCACUAAACCACCUCUCAGAUUUUUACUUGUGUUCCUGACUCAGCUUAUUUCGCUACACUAACUCAACCUACCUACAGAAUACAUUAUAUUCAUAAAUUCACAUUUUCACAUUUCAUUAUGUACCAACAUUUAUCCAUUUCUUAUUUCUUGCCCUGUGUCUUCCCUCCACCCAUGCGUGACUUCCUUGUUAUUAUUUUGUUAAGAAUUUUUAUUAUGUUACGGUAAAAUCUGGGUGCGGGGCUACUCUGCCACCCAGCUCGUCGGACUAAGUCCACGGGUCCCUGCGGAAGAAAAAUGAGCUCAGCCGGAGACAGGAGCAAACUGCAGAAGAUCCAAGUUUAUUGCGCAACAGGUUCAAGGCGAGAUUGAACAGCGAGAAAGGGGUGACAUGAACUUUUGAAAUUUCCCUCCAUGUCCCAGAAUACAGUGCAAAAUACAUCCCAGUUACAUCAUGAAUAUAUUAAGAAGAGGUUGGGUUACACAGAUUACAUCACGAAUACAUUAGGAAGAGGUUGGGUUACACCGGAUUAACAUAUGGAGGAGGGAGGGGGGAAUAUGCAGAGCUGGAGAUAUGCGCAGAUAAGCACAUCCUGAGAAGACAAUGGUCCAUGUAUGCAUAGUCUGUCACCUGGCAUCGCCCGGAGGAAAGGCUUGGCAGAGCGAUUUGACAGGAUUAGGGUCUUGACACCUUGCUUGAGGGAUUAUGGAGGACAGGGGAGGUGUCAUGGAGUCCUAGAGAAAUUGAGCAAAUUGGCACGUUGAUUUUCUAUGAAUUUUAUAGAUUUUAGUCCCUUUUGACAUUGACAAUUGGAAAUAAAUGGAUAUAUUGUAGCGAAGAAGGAGGUGAAGCAGACAUGCCCCCCCUUCCGUAUCAAUUAAUUUACUUGAUGGGGGGGCAGUUGACCGCCUGCAUCCCCCUGGCUAAGCCCAUGUUACAAGCCAUAGUUUAUCAUGACAAAAAUGAGCCUGGGGUUGUGUGCUCCCACCCUCUCCUCUGGCACAGCCAUGAUGAGGCGUUUGCAUGUUUUUGCUUCUUCCACUUUUGAUUAAUCUCAGUUAGCAUGGUAUCUGAACCCUAGACCUGGACAUUUUGCUUGCACUCUGGACACUGUCUGUUUCCCCUGAAGUCCUACAGAACUUGACUGCGGGGAAACAUCUAUUCAGCUAGAUGGAUCAAAAGGGUAAAGGAGUAUUGGGAAAUGAUAUCUAAUGAAUUGGGUAAAAAUAUUUUAAAAGUACUUUUCCAAAAAACCCCCAAAGUCUUUUUUGUUGGGGAUAAUUCAGAGGGAAAUUCCCAGGUGUCAAAAGAGACUAUUUAUGUAUGCUACUACGGCGGCCCGUGUUUUGUUAGCCCCAAAAUCGAAAACGAGCGAGGUUCCAACCAAAGAAGAAUGGCAACUUAAACAGAUGGAAUACGCGCAGCUUGAAGAUUUAACAUAUAGAACAAGAGAACAAGAAGAAAGUACGUUUAAAGAAGACUGGAAAAUGUUUACUGAAUAUAUAGGUGAAAAUAGUGUUCAUUUAAAAAUGCUGGUAGCAUUAAGAUAAAUUCAACAGUGUAAAUAAGUUUUGAUGGAUGUAAUAAUGGAACACUGAACAGUUUAGUUCAUGUAAAAUAGGCAGGGAUGUAUGGUAUGCAAAAUGAACCAAGGAAAAGAGAAGAAGGGAAGUCAUUGAUUUAAGGUUGUUUAAAUGAGUAUUUUGAAACGGAAAUGAUAAAAUUUAAUAAAAAUUAUGUAUAUAUGGGAUGCGGGUGGCACUGUGGGUUAAACCACAGAGCCUAGGACCUGCCGAUCAGAAGGUCGGCGGUUCGAAUCCCCGCGACGGAGUGAGCUCCCUUUGCUUGGUCCAUGCCCCAAACCUAGCAGUUUGAAAGCACAUCAGAGUGCAAGUAGAUAAAUAGGUACCACUCCAGUGGGAAGGUAAAUGGCAUUUACGUGUGCUGUUCUGGUUCACCAGAAGUGGCUUAGCCAUGCUGGCCACAUGACCCAGAAGCUGUACACCGGCUCCCUCGGCCAGUUCAUCUUGCUUUCAGGCCGAGGGAGCCAGUGUUUGUCCAUAGUCCAUGUAGCCAGCAUGACUAAACUGCUUCUGGUGCAAUGGAACAGCAUGGUGAAAACCAGAGCGCACGGAAACUCUAUUUACCUUCCCGCCACAGCGGUACCUAUUUAUCUACUUGCACCGGUGUGCUUUCGAACUGCUAAAUUGGCAGGAGCUGGGACAGAGCAAUGGGAGCAUAGCUGUCAACUUUUCCCUUUUCUUGCGAGGAAUCCUAUUUGGAAUAAAGGAAUUUCCCUUAAAAAAAGGGAAACGUUGACAGCUAUGAAUGGGAGCUCUCUCCGUCAUGGGGAUUCAAACUGCCGACCUUCCGAUCGGCCGGCCCAAAUGGCUCAGUGGUUUAGACCACAGUGCCACCCAUGUCCUAUGUUGGCAACAUAGGACUGUAUGGCGCUACAUAUGGGGAUCACUUUAUCUUCUCAGUGUCAUCUGCUAUCAGGAAGCUCCCUUACUUUGUGUGAUAGAGAAAGGUGAGGGCCUAAGACACUCUUUUUAUUACACUUAGCAGAGUCAUGUAUCCCAUAAUGGUAUUAUAAACAAGAGAGAUUCAGGAGUGUAUUGCAUACUGCGCGCUCAUGAGCGGCAGUUGCCAGUACAGCAACACCUCCCAAAUGAAAAAGGCUUCAGUAUGUGGAAUGUACCCAGAGCACUACAGUCUCCCGAGACAACUAGCAAAGACAGGGUUAACUACUUUUGACAAACUCCGCUGAAAAAUACUGGCAUGAGACUUGCAAGCAGCUACAAGGAAACGUAAACAUAAGCUGAAGAUGAUGAAAACUAAUUAGCUAAGUCUUCUGGAAUCAAAUCUUAACAUGAUGUGAUUAUAUAUCAAGAGGAAAAACACAAUGUUUAGACUGCAUGUAAUUUCAGUAAUAUGGUAAUGAAGCACAGUGCAUAAUUUCUGACCCAACUAAUCCCGCAGGCUUUUGAAAUUUCUGUUUUUGACAACAAAUCAUUGGUAGCGUUCCAGCAGUCGGUGACAAUAUUGUAAUGGAUACCAAGAGACCAGUUAAGUAUUGAAAUGUGAAUGAAAAUCUCCAGCAUUUGUUAAAUAGAAAACAAAAACACUUCUGUUUCUGCCAGCCUGGAGAAAUUGCAAGCAGGCUGGCAGUUUCAAAGCUCCCAAGAUCAGAGACUCUGAACGCUAGUUGAUGUGGAUCAUGAGCAGGAGAGGUCUAUUCUGGUCCUAUCCUGCUUCUGGGCUUCCCAGAGGAAGCCAGUUCACCACUGUGGAAAAGAAGUUGCCUCUUGAACUAGUGGAGUUUUCCUGAGCACAAUUCAAAAUGUUUUUGCUGACCUUUAAAGCCCUAAAUGGCCUCGGCCCAGUAUACCUGAAGGAGCAUCUCCAGCCCCAUCAUUCAGCCCGGACACUGAGGUCCAGCUCCGAGGGCCUUCUGGUGGUUCCCUCAUUGCGAGAAGUGAGGUUACAGGGAACCAGGCAGAGGGCCUUCUCGGUAGAGGCGCCCGCCCUGUGGAACGCCCUCCAUCAGAUGUCAAGGAAAUAAUCAACUAUCUCACUUUUAGAAGACAUCUGAAGGCAGCCCUGUUUAGGAAAGUUUUUAAUGUUUGAUGGUUUAUUGCUUUUUUAUUAAUAUUCUGUUGGGAGCCACCCAGAGAGGCUGCGGAAACCCAGCCGUAUGGGUGGGGUAUAAAUUAUUAUUAUUAUUAUUAUUAUUAUUAUUAUUAUUAUUCAUUGUUCAAACUAAUUGUAUUGACACAGAACACCUACAUGCAAAAUAUUGUUUUUGAACAUUAGGAAGACGUGUGAAAAUAAGUACAGGGGAGAUAUUUUACAUCCCAUUGGCUUAUCUGCUACAUUUGCAAAACAAGUGAAUAAAAUGCUUUAAAACCUGGGGAAUAAAGACCUUCAGGAACAAGAAUAAAACAAAGUUCUGAGACCCUAGUGGACGUAAGUGGAAAGAGGAAAUGAUUAGCCAUAUUUAGAUAUUUGAAGUCACCUAGAUGAAGGAGCAGAUCUGUUUUCUGUUGCUCCCGGGGGGUAGGACCCAAACCAAUUGGUUGAAAUGAUAAGAAAGGGGAUUUUGACAACACUACCAUCUGCAGUUUUGCAAGGUAGGCUCUCGAAAAUCCCAGACAAAACAGGUUGAAUCCAUCACACAUGUCUUAUUUUAUUGCCCAUUUUAUGCAAAAAAUAUGUUAUAAAUAUUUGGUUCCCUUAUUGAAGGAGGGGAUUUAUCGCACUGACUCAGGGUGUCUUAUCUGCUGAACAAUUGUAGUAAUGUAAUGACGUUGUGGAGAACGUGGCAAGAUUUUUGAGUGGCACCAUGAAAUUACAUCACCAUCGGUCCUAAGAGCCAUUUUUGUAUCUCACGAUGUCUGGACAGUUUUAUCUUAAAGUAUCUCCUACUAUGUUUUGUUAACUGUGUUGUGUUCUGAUCCAUGUAUACGAUAGACAUUUUUAUGCCAAUAAAGGAGAUUGAUUGAUUGAUUGAUUGAUUGACUACACAUAGGAACAUCAGAAGCUGCCUUAUAUCUUCUUCUUCUUUGGUGAUUGCUCGUAGCCGAGUAAGAUUGUCUUCCAUAAACACAGUUUUAACAGUGAGUCCGUAAGUGACUGUGGAGGCCAAUUCUGGAUCCACACGUCCUUCCACAGUGGGGACAUAGGUUUCCGGGUGGGAGUUGAUCACAGUGAGGGUCUGCCAAAGGUGCCUUCCUCUUAGCUCAUUUCUCCCUUUCAUCCUGAGUUCGCGCUUCUUCAGUAAAGGCUGUUCUCCAAUUGGAGCGCUCGCAGACCAGUAUUUCCCAAUUAUCUGUGCUUACACUGCAUUUUUAAAGAUUUGCUUUAAACCUCUUUUGUUGCCCACCGGUAUUUCGCUUUUCAUUCUUAAGUUAGGAAUAGAGUAGUUGCUUUGGAAGACGAUAAUCAGGCAUCUGAAGCACAUGAACAGUGCAGUGAAGUUGAUGCUGAAGAAUCAUUGCUUCAAAGCUGUCCAGCUAGCUGAGCACUGGUCCAGCUAGCUCAAUGCAGCCUACACUGGCUGGCAGUGGUCAUUGGCGGAGCUUCAUGCUCCGGCACCGGGGGGGGGGGCGGAGAGCAGGCGGGGCUGGUGCAUAUCCUGGGGGCGUGACGCGCCACCUUCAGGGAUGUGAUGCGGGUCCUGGGGGCAUGGCACGCCACAUACGGGGGCGUGGCGCCCAGCACGGGAUUCCUCCGCCAGUGGCAGAGGUCCUCCUAGGGGGUUUAAGACAGGGAGUUCCUCUCAGUCCUACCUGGAGGUUCCAGGGAUAGAAUCUUCUACAUGCUCCACCACUGACAUGCAGACCUUCCCCUAAACAUAAGGACGAACGUCCUGAGAGUAAAGACCAUUUGGGCAGUGAAACAGACUCCCUUGGGAGGUAGUAGACUCUCAUUCAUUUGAUUUUUCUUAAGCAUAGGUUCAUCAUCAUGACCAUCUCUUAGCAAUGCAGUGGAUUUCCUGCACCAGCAGAGAGGUGGACUAGAUAACAUUUGUAGGUAAAAGGUAAAGGCCCCCUGGACGGUUAAGUCCAGUCAAAGGCAACUACAGUGGUACUUCGGGUUAGAGACGCUUCAGGUUACAGACUCUGCUAACCCAGAAAUAGUACCUCGGGUUAAGAACUUUGCUUCAGGAUGAGAACAGAAAUUGCGCGGCGGCAGCAGGAGGCCCCAUUAGCUAAAGUGGUACCUCAGGUUAAAAUCAGUUUCAGGUUAAGAACGAAUUAAGUUCUUAACCCGAGGUACCACUGUACAGUGUUACCUCGGUUUACGAACUUAAUCCAUUCCGGCAGUCCGUUCUUAAACCGAAACAGUUCUUAAACCGAGGCACACUUUCCCUAAUGAGGCCUCCUUCCACCAUUCGGAUUCCAUUCGUAGACCAAGGUAAAGUUCUAAAACCGGGACACUACUUCCAGUUUUGCAGAGUUGUUAAACCAAAUAGUUCUUAAACAGGACUGUUCUUAAAUCGAGGUACCACUGUAUGGGGUUGCGAUGCUCAUCUCGCUUUCAGGCCGAGGGAACCGGCGUUUGUCCACAGACAGCUUUCUGGGUCAUGUAGCCAGCAUGACUAAACCACUUCUGGCGCAACGGAACACCGUGACGGAAACCAGAGCUUGAGGAAACGCUGUUUACCUUCCCGCCGCAGCAGUACCUAUUUAUCUAUUUGCACUGGUGUAAUUUCAAACUGCUAGGUUGGCAGGAGCUGGGACAGAACAACGGGAGCUCACCCCAUUGUGGGGAUUCGAACCACUGACCUUCUGAUUGGCAAGCCCAAGAGGCUCAGUUGUUUAGACCACAGCGCCACCCUUCCAACUGUAUGAGUCUAUUACCUGACUACAAAGUCAUAAUUAAAUAUAAGAUCAUGUGCUGAAACUCAAGUUCUACUGCAUGCCCUGCGAUUUCAUAACUGAAGUCAGAUGCUCCAGAUCUACAUUUUAAAAUAAAAUCUUUAAACUAAUAAUUACCCCACUUCGACACUGACCUGUAAGUUUUCCCUUGUCUUAUUUAAGAGAAUAUAAGUACUUCUCCAGAGUGGCUUAGUUUAAUUUGUAUGAUAAUGAUUGCUGCAAAAUAGGUAUCAAAUGCAGACCUUACGCCAUCUGUAAUUAAUGGCUUCACGACAUGCUUUAACAUAAAGGUGAAGUUUAAGAGUCUCGUAUCUUACCUUGACCUAUUUUGGGCAGGUUUGGAAGCAAAUAAUUUGGGGGGCCAAAUGAAUGUAUCUCUUAUAGCCCUGAUGUAGCAAGAGGAAUCCAUAGCUGGAAGCAGGCUCCACCAGGCAGAUCUUUCUCUGGAUUUGGAAUUUUGUGCACACAUUUACACCCCUAUUAGAAGAGCAGAAUGGGGGGGGGGGACUGGAUCCAAGCAACAGCCUUGCUCAGUGGUUGCAGUGCUGCUGUUACAAUUGGCACUGCCCACAGAAAAACAGCUGCAGCCUGCCCAAAUGGAAAACGUGCAAAAUCCUUAUUAUUCUCGAUCAACUGUCAAAAUGCCAGUAAGUAUAGCAUGCGUCCUAAAUGUCUGUGUACUACAAAGAUAUGCACUCCAUCUCUGUGCCCUAGGAAUACAAUGACACCCCUUUGGAUGCCCCCCCCGACCCGUACAGAGCUUGUCUGAGGCCUGGGGCAGAAGUCUUGUUCGAAUAAAGUUCUAAACUCAAAACUGCAUAAGUCUGGCAGGUCCUUGAUGUGCCCUCCAGCCAACCUAGCCCUCUGAGGCCAGUGUACCUGGCUGCCCAACCCCAGCAUGGUACUGGGUGCCCCUAUUAAUGAGGCCUUGGUUAUCCAGUGUCAAGGGUACAGGGGAGGUUUUGCUCCUGUUGCAGCACUGCAUUUAAAGCCCUUCACGGCCUAGGACCCUCGUACCUAUGGGACCACCUCUCCUGGUAUGCCCCACAGAGGACCUUAAGCUCCAUAAAUAGCAACACCCUAAAGGUCCCGGGCCCUAAGGAGGUUAGAUUAGCCUCAACCAGAGCCAGGGCCUUUUCAACACUGGCUCCGGCCUGGUGGAACGCUCUGCCUCAUGAGACCAGGGCCCUGCGGGAUCUGAUUUCUUUCCGCAGGGCCUGUAAGACAGAGUUGUUCCACCUGGCCUUUGGCUUAGAAUCAAUUUGAUUCCCUCACCCUCUUUCUUUUUUCCUUUCUCCUCCUGUGAAGAGGAUGCAUCUUAAUGUUUUAAUGUUGUAUUUUAAUCUUGUUUUUUAAAUUGUAUUUUAAUCAACUUGUUUUUAUUAUUGGUUGUUAGCCGUAGAGCGCUUUGCUUGUUAGCGUAGAGUGCAUUGCAGUAGUCCAAGUGGGAGAUAACCAGAGCAUGCACCACUCUGGCGAGACAGUCCGCGGGCAGGUAGGGUCUCAGCCUUCGUACCAGAUGGAGCUGGCAGACAGCUGCCCUGGACACAGAAUUGUGCCACUCUAGGUGCUGUGGGUUAAACCACAGAGCCUAGGACUUGCCAAUCAGAAGGUCAGUGGUUCGAAUCCCCGUGACGGGAUGAGCUCCCAUUGCUCGGUCCCUGCUCCUGCCAACCUAGCAGUUCGAAAGCACGUCAAAGUGCAAGUAGAUAAAUAGGUACCGCUCCGGCGGGAAGGUAAACGGCGUUUCCGUGCGCUGCUCUGGUUUGCCAGAAGCGGCUUAGUCACGCUGGCCACAAGCUGUACACCGGCUCCCUCGGCCGAUAAAGCGAGAUGAGCGCCGCAACCCCAGAGUCAGUCAUGACUGGACCUAAUGGUCAGGGGUCCGUUUACCUUUAGGAUGUGCCCAGGUGCUUUAGGUUUGGGAUAUGGCCUCCCAGUUACUUGAUGGUCUACACACUUUCUCUUCCCAGUCUCUCUCCCCCUGCCCCCCAUCUCCUUCCCCACCUUGCCCUUUUCUGGAGCAUUUCGCUCAUUUGGUUUUGCCCUCUUACUGCACGGUUUUCUCCAGGUCCCAGACUUCUUUUGUCUGCCAGGUGUUGGCAACCCUGUGGCAUCAGCAGGUGUCUCGUCCUGCUUUAGGAUGCUGUUGACCCAGGGACCCUAAUUGUCAUCCCUGCCCAUAAUCUGGUGUCAACGUUUGUGUGAAGAAUACAAAGGACGCUAGAGAGAACCAUUUCCUUCUCUUUGCAGAUCUGAAAUGGAACAACUUGAAAUGAAGAGAUGGCUUUUUUCCCCCCAGAAGCACCGGCUUUGCUGAAACCAAUUAUCAAGGGCACUCUAUUCUCAAGAGUAUCUAAGUGUUUUCAGUGAAUAAGGGCCCCUUUUAUCUCUUAAGGAGUUUAAAAAAUAAAUAAAUGCAACACUUUUGAGAGC